ACAUGCGUCGGGUCUCGGGAUAUAUCAUGCUUUUAGGUUUAUAUUUCAUUACAUGUUUCAAAACGAAAUCAGUCACGAUUGAGACACGCAAGCAUAUAAGAAAUGUAAACAUUGUCUUGUGCGCGACAACGAACGUUUCAAAUUCUUAUUUCCAGUGGCCUUUAUUUAUCGUGCCUAAAUUUUAAAGAUUUAUGAUAGUUAAUAAUAUGUACAGCCAUACGUGCGAUGUUGCAGAAAAAGUUCAACGCGUUUAUCUAUUAAUUAAUAAAAAAUCAAACAAGCGCAUAUCACGAGAAAUUUUUCUUUUGCAAUGGAUACAAAAUCGGAUAAUUGGUUAAAUUGUUUACCAGACCUUGUAAUAGAGAACAUUCUCGACCGCGUUGAUAUCAGCAUUUACGAUAUUUGUGGCGUCCGAUUAUGGAGGAAGAAAUUUUAUCCAGCUUUCGAGUCCAGCUUGGGAAAGAAUAAUUCUGCGCAGGUCAACAUUCGUGAAUCUGUCGGAUCUUUCAACCCAUGUAUCAUCUUUAAUAUCAUAAUAAAGAUUGUUUCUGAAUUGAAACAGUGAGAAAGUUAAUAAGUGUUUCCAUCUUAUAAAUCAGUUUUACAGUAUUAAAACCUCUCAAAAUGGACUGCAAUAAUAAUUUGUUGAAUGCAAAUCAAUCCAUUUCACAACAACGGGAUCCAGGAGGCCAGCGAGGGAUGCAAAGCUCUUGGACUCAAAAUAAGACCAAUCAAAACCAGCAAUCAAAACUAACAACUGAAAAAGCUGGCAAGAGCGAGGAAAAUCAAACUAGAGUCUACAUAUCAAGCAAAAUCUGAAUGUUUCUCGUCGAAAUAUUGGGUCGAUUGAGGACGGACAAAAUAUUGAUAUUGCUGCCGUUUAUCAAGAAAGAUGAAAAAUCGAAUCCUGAAUGAUACAACAAAUCAAGAUAAUUAUGUGAUAAAAAUGUUCAACUUAUUAUUUUACUAUUUCGCCAAAUGUAUCCG
Nylanderia fulva is the source of this 987-nucleotide long non-coding RNA. RefSeq lists it as uncharacterized. Lineage: Eukaryota; Metazoa; Arthropoda; Insecta; Hymenoptera; Formicidae. The record is from RefSeq and is a predicted model, not a curated record.